ACUCCAGCCCAUGCGCAUUGUCCACUCCACUGAGCACCGGAUCCCAGGGGCCCAACAUGGCUGAAAAGUCCUUCAAAGCAGCCAGGUGGAACUAGGGAAAAGUUCAGCAUAACAGCCGUCCUGCAUGUGACUCCAAUCGGCAUGCGACAGUGUCACGGAUAACGCGAGUGAAAUUUGCUUCGUCGUUCUCCAUUCCACCCAUCGUGACUGACAGCUCGACGUUCAAUAAUUCAUCCGGCCUGGGCUGUGUGAAGAGCUCAUGGAGGUCAUAAAUCGGCAACAAUCACUUCAAGACGGUGCCGUGUCUAAGGUUUAAGGCAAAUAAGUCAUAAGGUUGUAUGACGCUUCUCAAUUUUGCAAUGAAUUUAAAGUUGGACGUUACAAAAUGAACACCUUUUGCAUCUCGUGUAUUUGCGGUAUGUUACAUUGCAGAGAUUUACAGUUGGACUAUUGGUCACAUUUUUAACCUAGUGGCCUGUUAGAUUAGUUAAUAGAGUGCUUUUAAAAGCAAGUCAUCCAGCGAAUAAAUCACACAAACAUUUCCCUUAAAAUAGAUCCCAAAGCACCUGAUCCAUCUGUUGUAGGCGCGUCAGAAUACUGUGUCAAGCAUAUUUGGGGCAACCGGGGUUGGAGACCACAUCACUUGUUGCGUGCAAAUACAGAAGCAGAAGACAAGCUAUUUUUUUUUUUUUAAAUCGUUGGUGUUUAUUUUAAUACUCAAACAUGAGAAAUGCAUAAAUCAUCACUUGUUUCCACACAUCAUUAAUAUCAAGUAUGCUUGUGAAAUACACUGUAAUUCGUUUUGGCUGCAAGCUUCGACGUGUCUGAAAACAGCUGUAACUACAGCUUUAAAUUAACUGUUUUAGACUGAAAAAUAGUUGUGAUUAGUUGUGAGUUUCAAAAUACCGUUUAGUGAAUUUAUUGACACUUUUCAUAACAUGAAAUGAAUUUAAUUCAUGAUGUAACCGUGACGUCCCGUUUCACAUUGCUGAAAUGGCUUCCUGUCACUUGUAGAGAGAAGGAGGCCUCACCUGCAAUGUGAAACCUGCUUUUAUUUCUUGGAAAAGAAACAAGAAACCAAACCACUGAAGUGCCUGCAGUGCUGCAGGUGCGAAUAUCUGUUUGCCUGUAAGCAUGAUUAAUAGUAAUGAAAUGUGGGACUUCUCCCAAUACGGAACAAUCACCCAUUCCUUGACGUCAUCAACCAACAAACACAACAUGUCAUGCCUGGUAAGUUAUGAAAAAAAUAUUUGUAGGUAAGGAGUCUCAUGGAAAAUUGAUUUAUUGCCUAUGUGCAUUACUGAGAUGAUGUACGAUCAUUACCAUUUGAGAAUUGAAAAUUAUGUUUGUUGAUCAAAUUGAAAUCUGAAUUGAUUUUAGGUACUUAUUAAAUGACAUUUAGCUAGCUGU
Syngnathus acus (greater pipefish) is the source of this 1410-nucleotide long non-coding RNA. RefSeq lists it as uncharacterized. Lineage: Eukaryota; Metazoa; Chordata; Actinopteri; Syngnathiformes; Syngnathidae. The transcript has 3 exons. The record is from RefSeq and is a predicted model, not a curated record.